Pelobates cultripes (western spadefoot toad) is the source of this 411-nucleotide non-coding RNA. The record is from the annotation of a GenBank genome assembly. NCBI's taxonomy places the organism in Eukaryota, Metazoa, Chordata, Amphibia, Anura, Pelobatidae.
CUUUAAUAAAAUUCACAUGGUCAAUGUCUGAAAUCGGACUAUAUUAAAUAUGGAGGCAGAGAAAAUGUCCAGCCCGUUCUAGACUGUUAGCCCUUAGCAAGAAAAUAUAUACCAAAUAAUCAGGAAAUGGCUAGAAUCUAGUUGAAAAAGGGCUAAAAAUAGAAAUAGGUGGAGAAGAAAGCCUGUGUGGAUAAUUGGGAUCUAAAAACCCACACAGUGAGACUGUAUCUAAAUGCUGUUACUAGGUCUGUCAGCCAAAGUUGCAACACAGUCUCUACGUUGCCAGAUGCAAAAAAGGAAAGGGCUAGUCUUAUUAAAAAGACUGAUGCUGUCUGUAUGAAAGGUACUGAUAUUAAAUCUCAAUAGAAAUAGUGAACAGACAUAUGACUCACUAGUCUGAGUAACCCUGAC